GAUGAACGCUGGCGGCGUGCCUAAUACAUGCAAGUCGAGCGAACGGACGAGAAGCUUGCUUCUCUGAUGUUAGCGGCGGACGGGUGAGUAACACGUGGAUAACCUACCUAUAAGACUGGGAUAACUUCGGGAAACCGGAGCUAAUACCGGAUAAUAUUUUGAACCGCAUGGUUCAAAAGUGAAAGACGGUCUUGCUGUCACUUAUAGAUGUAUCCGCGCUGCAUUAGCUAGUUGGUAAGGUAACGGCUUACCAAGGCAACGAUGCAUAGCCGACCUGAGAGGGUGAUCGGCCACACUGGAACUGAGACACGGUCCAGACUCCUACGAGAGGCAGCAGUAGGGAAUCUUCCGCAAUGGGCGAAAGCCUGACGGAGCAACGCAGCGUGAGUGAUGAAGGUCUUCGGAUCGUAAAACUCUGUUAUUAGGGAAGAACAUAUGUGUAAGUAACUGUGCACAUCUUGACGGUACCUAAUCAGAAAGCCACGGCUAACUACGAG
RNAcentral lists this ribosomal RNA (497 nucleotides) under uncultured bacterium. Its description in RNAcentral is "partial 16S ribosomal RNA". It matches the Rfam family "Bacterial small subunit ribosomal RNA", at positions 28 to 507 of the family's 1533-position model. The record is from RNAcentral.